ACACAUGAUACCGUGGUGAUGCUAGAGUGAUCUAACUAGAGCGUUCUGAUUAAUUGAGUCUGCUCCAGUGCUUUCUAAGUAGAACAUGUCAGAGCCUGUGAAUAGGCAGCCUAGGUAGGUAUUUAAAUUUGCCUGCAUUUUACUUUAGGGACUUAAUUUGGGAUUUGCCUCUUAGGCCCUAUUAAAGUCAAAGGCAAAGUUCCCAAUGACUUUGGUGAUGCCAUAAUACCCACAGGGGUAAUUCCUCUUAGUUUUUUGCUCUUCUUUUUCAUCUAUUUUUGGAAUCUCUUGAAACGCCUGUGGACUUAAUUGAACAGUCUAGGAAGUUGUGUGAAAUGACUGAACUCUCUAGAGCUGAACCAUAUUUUUUCAGGUGUGGGAAUUCGCAGCCUUUUAAAAACUGCAACAUAAAAGCUGCUCAGACACUUCAGUGAUGGCUGCUUUCGGAAUACCUUCUGUGGGUAGGUAGGCUUAACCACUUUGCUCCACUGUCCUUGGAAAGUCCUGGUCUGUCUGGUGUCCAGUACAUAUUCAGCUAGCUCUGUUGUGUGUUGCUUAAUAACUUAGCUUUACUAUUGCCUAUAACUGAGCACUUUCCUCUUCCUGUUUAAUGCCUGCUCUGCUCCUUUCCACUUUGAUGGGUAGGGAGGGGACAGCGGGCAGGAAAUGUGUUAAAUUGAAAGCAUUGUUACUAAAAGGGCUGUUGUUUGUUUAUUCCCUAAAUAAAUCCUUUCAUUUAUCAGCUGACAUUUCAGCCAAACGGGCUUUCCUCUGGGCCUGAUGUGAACUGAAGUAUUAACACAUUUGACUUAUUCCUCACUUGUGUUAAGUAAUACAAGGAGCCUGGCUCGAUCACCUGGACAUCCUGGGUUUUCAGUUGUCAUCCACCGGAAAAGGAAAACCUAGCAACUCAUCUCUGUGCUCAGUUUGUUACAUCCUCAACUUUCAUCUGCUCAGACUUAAAACUCUUCAGUGGACAAAUAUGUUAUUCCUAAGUACCUUGCUCUUUUGAAGAUGGUUGACUUAUCUUGGUUGCUGCCCUCUGACUUCUAGCUAGCUGCAUCACUUACAUCUCCAUAUUAAGGCCACAAAGGACUCUCAUGAUUAUCUAAGGCCAGAGGUUGGCAGCCUACAGCCCAUGGACCAGAUCCAGCCCACGGUGGCAUUUGACGGCCAAAAGAAGGGCAUUUUGUGUGGGAAACUUUGUCUAACAUCUCUCCUAGCUAUAUAUUGGGCCAACAAAGGAUAUUGUUUUAUCUCACCAACCUUGAUCCUUAUGUGUUUCCUGGACCAUCACCGCUACAGCAGCACUACAACACUGCUGCAUGUUGAUGAGCAGUCCAGUCCAUCCGAACAUUUACAGUCAGGUGGCUCUGAUGCUCCUCUCACUUCCAGCAUGUACAACUAGAAGUCAUUCAUCCGAAAUCAGUAUCACUGCAUCCUGGGCAGAAGGAAAUGACAGAAGCCUGCUCCCCAAGCUACUGAUCAAUGUCUUCUCCAGUAGAACAGGAAGCAACUGUGACUACCUGAAGCCUGCGAUCCUGCUCCUGCCUUUGUUUCAAGGUAAUUUGCACCCUCACAGAUCCUCACAGGAGGUGAGAGGCUCCAUACCAGCUAUGAACUGACUGCCCAGAGGAGUUUUCCAUCUACUGACUCCUCUGUGAAUCCUAUGAAAUAUGAACUUCCAUUUCUACCCAGGAGAACUUUUAACAAUCUUUUCUCUGAUGCCCGAUGAAGAGUGUUUGUGCCCGAAAGCUUGCAAUUAAAGAAUUUUUUUUGCAAAAAU
Molecule: long non-coding RNA, 1786 nt
Organism: Alligator mississippiensis (American alligator)
Lineage: Eukaryota; Metazoa; Chordata; Crocodylia; Alligatoridae
Exons: 5
Source: RefSeq, a predicted model, not a curated record